RNAcentral lists this ribosomal RNA (497 nucleotides) under uncultured bacterium. RNAcentral's name for it is "partial 16S ribosomal RNA". It matches the Rfam family "Bacterial small subunit ribosomal RNA", at positions 28 to 507 of the family's 1533-position model. The record is from RNAcentral.
GAUGAACGCUGGCGGCGUGCCUAAUACAUGCAAGUCGAGCGAACAGAUGAGGAGCUUGCUCCUCUGACGUUAGCGGCGGACGGGUGAGUAACACGUGGAUAACCUACCUAUAAGACUGGGAUAACUACGGGAAACCGGAGCUAAUACCGGAUAAUAUAUUGAACCGCAUGGUUCAAUAGUGAAAGACGGUUUUGCUGUCACUUAUAGAUGGAUCCGCGCCGCAUUAGCUAGUUGGUAAGGUAACGGCUUACCAAGGCAACGAUGCGUAGCCGACCUGAGAGGGUGAUCGGCCACACUGGAACUGAGACACGGUCCAGACUCCUACGGGAGGCAGCAGUAGGGAAUCUUCCGCAAUGGGCGAAAGCCUGACGGAGCAACGCCGCGUGAGUGAUGAAGGUCUUCGGAUCGUAAAACUCUGUUAUUAGGGAAGAACAAAUGUGUAAGUAACUAUGCACGUCUUGACGGUAACUAAUCAGAAAGCCACGGCUAACUACGUG